UACAGAGGGUGCGAGCGUUGUCCGGAAUCACUGGGCGUAAAGGGCGCGUAGGUGGCUCCGCAAGUCCAUGGUGAAAGCUCGAUGCUCAACAUCGAGUCGGCCACGGAGACUGCGGGGCUCGAGCACUGUAGGGGCAGAUGGAAUUCCGGGUGUAGCGGUGGAAUGCGUAGAGAUCCGGAAGAACACCGGUGGCGAAGGCGGUCUGCUGGGCAGUUGCUGACACUGAGGCGCGACAGCGUGGGGAGCAAACAGG
Molecule: ribosomal RNA, 253 nt
Filed under: uncultured bacterium
Lineage: Bacteria
Description: partial 16S ribosomal RNA
Rfam family: Bacterial small subunit ribosomal RNA
Source: RNAcentral